Amborella trichopoda is the source of this 1843-nucleotide non-coding RNA. The record is from RefSeq and is a predicted model, not a curated record. Lineage: Eukaryota; Viridiplantae; Streptophyta; Magnoliopsida; Amborellales; Amborellaceae.
UAAAUGAAGACCAUGGGCAUCCUAGAAUUUAUCAAUAUAACUUGGGUCUUCUAUCAGCUUGGAUAGACUAUGUAGGCAGCUUUGAGCUCCUUAUUUCAAUUGAGAGGGCAACAGAGAUGGUGGGGAUUGGAAUACUGGAAAAAAUAAAGCCGCAGAAAAAGGAGGCGGAGAGGAAAAGAGAUGAUUUUUGGAUUGAGACAUGGGAUUCCAUUGCACAGCAGUAUCGGUUUGAUAGAGAUGACCAUCUCUCUGUGAAGAAGGUCAAUGAUUCAAGGCCAUUUGGGACCCAUAUAUUGGAAUCCUUCCUGAAUAAAUUUUUCCCUGCUGGAUAUCCCCAUAGUGUAAAUGAAGGGUACCUGACAUAUACUAAAUUUAGGGCUUUGCAACAUGUUUCCAGUGCCGCACUCUCAGUGCUAUCAACACAGUCAUUGCUGUUUGCUGCAGGCCUGCGGCCUACCCCAGCACAGGCAACAGCUGUAAGCUGGGUCAUCAAGGAUGGAAUGCAACAUGUUGGGAAACUCAUAUGUAGCAAUAUGGGUGCAAGAAUGGACUCGGAACCAAAGCUUUGGCGGAUACUAGCUGAUGUGCUCUAUGAUUUGGGUACUGGCUUGGAAGUUCUUUCUCCAUUAUGCCCUCAACUUUUUCUCGAAAUGGCCGGCCUGGGCAACUUUGCAAAGGGAAUGGCGGUUGUUGCAGCAAGAGCUACAAGGUUGCCAAUAUAUUCUUCAUUUGCUAAAGAGGGCAAUCUUAGUGACCUGUUUGCCAAAGGAGAGGCCAUCUCCACUCUCUUCAAUGUUGUGGGAUUAGGAGCAGGCAUUCAGUUGGCAUCAACUGUUUGUUCAUCAAUGCAAGGAAAGAUGAUAGUGGCUCCCUUGCUUGCUGUUCUACACGUUUACAGUGUGACUGAAGAGAUGCGAGCAGCUCCUGUUAACACGUUGAAUCCACAACGAACUGCUAUGAUUGUAGCCGACUUCCUCGAGGAUUGCGCAAGAAAGGAUGGCAUACUGAUCAGUUUUUGGAUGGGACGGGGACCCGGUUCUCCUGGUAUUAUGAUGCAAAGUUUUCAUAGAAGAGAUUAUAGCUUGGGGCAACCAACCUCAAUUAGUUGGAAAAAAGCUUUGACGAUGAUGAUUAUAACUUGGGGCAGAAAUGUCGACUUUGACAGUUCAUCUCACGUCUUGUAGAAUGAGGAGAAUUUGCAAUGCUGCAGGUCUCUCUCUCGCAUAUGCAGGAAAGAUCAAAUGCACGCACCCAUGGAUAGAGGAAAAAUGACGUUAAAGAAUAGAAACUAACGAGUGGCAAAGAGACAAUUGCAUUUUCUUAGUGUGCACGUGUGCAGUACACUCCGUUUGGAUGCUCUUUUGUCCCUAUUAAACAAUGGAACUAAGAUGUGGUUGAAGAGUGCUUUGCAGGUCCGGCCACCCCAAUCUAACCUCAUCCGUUGCCACCCCUACCCCCGUGCUAGGCAUUGGACUUAAAGAAACUGGUUAUCCAGGAGUAAGCGCAAGUCCUUUUGUUUUCUUUUCGUUUUUAAUACAUGUUCACGUUGUGAUUUGUGUUUUCCAAGUAAGCAGGGACUAGAAAGGCGCUUGUUCUUGAUUAGCUGGGAAUGGACCAAACAAUGGCAUAUUUCUAUUCAGCAAUGAAUGGGGCGAGAAACAACUUAUUUAGGAAUUAGUGGCCUCCAAACUGGGCCCAAGUAAUUGCCAUUUUGCCAUUCAACAGUUGUGGUUUUGUAAGCCCAUUUUCCAUUCAUUCCAUACAGGAUGGAAAAAUGGCUAUCUGAGAGAGAGAGAGAUCCAUUCAUUCCAUACAAGAUGGAAAAAUGGGUAUCCGAGAGAGA